Molecule: ribosomal RNA, 377 nt
Filed under: uncultured eukaryote
Lineage: Eukaryota
Description: partial 18S ribosomal RNA
Rfam family: Eukaryotic small subunit ribosomal RNA
Source: RNAcentral
CAAUAGCGUAUAUUUAAGUUGCUGCAGUUAAAAAGCUCGUAGUUGGAUUUCGGGUGGGAAUGGCCGGUCCGCCGUUUCGGUGUGCACUUGCUUCGCCCACCUUGCUGCCGGGGACGUGCUCUUGAGUUCACGCUCGGGACACGGAGUCGGCGAGGUUACUUUGAGUAAAUUAGAGUGUUCAAAGCAGGCCUACGCUCUGAAUACAUUAGCAUGGAAUAACACGAUAGGACUCUGGCCUAUCUUGUUGGUCUGUAGGACCGGAGUAAUGAUUAAGAGGGACAGUCGGGGGCAUUCGUAUUUCAUUGUCAGAGGUGAAAUUCUUGGAUUUAUGAAAGACGAACUACUGCGAAAGCAUUUGCCAAGGAUGUUUUCAUUAA